RNAcentral lists this long non-coding RNA (1915 nucleotides) under Sinocyclocheilus grahami. Its description in RNAcentral is "lncRNA (ENSSGRG00000030858.1)". The record is from RNAcentral. Lineage: Eukaryota; Metazoa; Chordata; Actinopteri; Cypriniformes; Cyprinidae.
GUGUAAAGCACCUUGAAAAGACCUGCCUACCGGGAUUAGACACAGCGCUAUUUUGGGGCUCUUGUCACAUUAGUCGUCAGAUUCAUAGCGCUGCUGGGCUGGGUCACGCUGCUAGGACUCACCACUCACUUGAUCGACACAAAUAAACACCAAGAAAGAGCCUUGAAACCGGGUUAAUUAAAAACGUUUCAUAGUUCGUCUCGUCAGUAGCGUUUGUGCUUUGACGUACCUUUGGAAGUUAUCGAGUGUAAAUUCUUUGGUGUUUUCGAGACACACGACGCUUCUGAAACUUUUGCGUGCGUAAAGACGUUGGAAGACGAAAUGGGGGAGACUGAUGUUCAAAUGGAGAGUACAGAGCAAAUGCAGGAGCCUCACGCUUCAAGCUCGGACAAAAUCGACUUGUCAUUAGAUGACAUUAUAAAGCUGAAUAAGAAGGAACAGAAGGCAAACAGAGCUGCCAACAGAGCUCAAACUAAACGUGCUGUUAACAGGAACAACGUCUUGAAGAAACUCAACCAGGUUCCACAGCAACAGAGGGGACUCAGACGAGGAGCGCAGCAGUACCAAGGGCCUGGCAGGGGGAGAGGGUUAAGGAGACAAAGAGGAUCCGGGAGGGGCAUGAUGUUGAGAAGGGAUUCACUAAAUGCCGCUGCUGCCGCUGCCACGACUGGUGAACAGUUUGAUCAGACCACAUUCACAUCGAGGGGCACAUUCAGAGGACGGGGAAGAGGUAGAGGAAGAGGAGGCGGACUGAGCAGGGGUGCAUUGUCAGCAAGAGGACAAAGGGGUGGAAGACCAUUUGUAUUAGACAGAGGGGUAAGAAGGACAAUCUUUAUUAAUAAAUCAACAUUCAACAAAAAAAAAACAUUCACAUUAUACAAAACCUAUACACGGAUUGACCUUCGAAGUCGAAGAACAGCACCAUCUGGCUCCACGCUGACAGUAUCCCUGCCAAAUGCUAAAUCUGCACCUGUCGCUGUGAAGACAUCUAAUCAAACUAGGAGGGGUGGGGCAGUGUUAAGGGGCAGAUCAUCUAGAGGAGCCGGUACUUCGUCAUCUAUGGGGAUUCCUCUGCAAUUUAACUACAAAGCAACUACUAACCAGACUGCCGUAUACCUUAAUGACCGUUUCACUGACCUGAGGUUAAGAGGGCAAGAACGAGGCCGGGGAAGAGGUGGUGGAAGAGGAGCUGUUGGAGGAGGGGGAAGAGGUGGAGGAAGAGGAAACAUUGUUGGGGGUGGACGAGGUAGAGGACAAGGAAACAUAGGUGGUGGAAGAGGCAGAGGAAGAGGAAACUUUAUGGGUGGUGGAAGAGGAAGAGGAAACUUUAUGGGGGAUGGCAGAGGAAGAGGAAACAUUAUGGGGGGUGGCAGAGGAAGAGGAGGGGUUGGUGUGGCAAGAGGAGGAAGAGGCUUGAGAAGAGGGAGUGGAGGAUCAAGAGGAGCCGAUCGAACAGUAACUCUUCAGUGAUUAGAAUUACAACCAAUUUUAUGAAGUAAUAGUGUUUACUGAAAAAUUAAUUAUUUUUGGUAAAAAAAAUUUUUUUUUUGGUGCAUCACUAUUUACUGUCAUGAUGUCAUUCAACUAAAUAUUUGUAACAUUUCUGACAGCGGGAUAAGGGGGGUUUAUUGCAGUGUACAAACAAAAAAAAAGUCCUUUUUAAAAGAAUGUAAAUUAUUGAUUGUUAUAUGAUGAAGGUUUUUAAAUUUUUAGGUUAUGAAAAAAUAACAUUUUAAAAAGUACCUCAGAGGGUAAUGAAGUGCCUCUUCAAAUUCAGUGUAAAUACUGUUUUGCAUUCUGACAUUAGAAGGUAAACUCAGUGAUAAAAACUGAAUCCUAUACUUAAAAAAUGUAAAUAUAUCAAAAGUUGUUUACAUUUGAUAUCAUCAUAUCAAUAAACACCAAACAAUGGACA